AGAACGCGCUGCUGCGUCCAGACGCACGGGCUGCUACUGGUCCCGGGAGGAGACAGGACAGUGUCCCUGCACAGAGCGAUCCCACUACCAAGCGACAAGAAAAAUCAAAGAAGUCUGCACCCGAGCGCGGCGGGAAAGCAGGACAGAGGGCAUCCAGCGUCCCAACUCACAACUGGGAGCGCCGAGGCGGUUCCCGCAUGAGAUGAAAGUCACCUGGAUCAGCUAACCUCUCCGCCAGUGGCUCAGCGCACAGAGAUCUGUGGAUCCGCCACAUGUGAUCGUCUGCACCCCGCCAGCCAGUCCUGAUCGCACCCAGCUCGUCCUCCCUCUAGGGCAGGUGGCCCUUACCUGUCGCGGUCCUCGGGUUCCUCUCGACAGAAGGAAGAACAAUUCCCACUGCAUGUGGCCAUGUGAUGUUGGAUAAUACACAGGAAUCCUACACAUAGGCUACUAGGGACACCUGCGAGGACAACAGCUACCACCAGAAACACCAAACACAUGGGCUUCUCUGUCGCUAUGAAGGAGACUCCAAGACCAAAAUGUGGCGGGAACACUGACUCGUCACCUGUCCUCUUGUCAGAGCCUUGUUCUGAAAAACUGCCACAGUGGAGGAAGGGCUCUUACCUCUGUCCUCAGGCUCCUACCUAUGACAUCCAGCCAACUUCUUAUGGACCCUCGAAGCAGCCUGCCACCUGGACCUGGACCUUUCAGGAACAGCUGGUGUGUCUUCCGUGAAAGAACACACAUGGAGCAGAUCCAAAUCCAAGUCCAAAGAAGAGCUGAGCCCCGUAAGACCUGCCACCUGAAACAGGGCCAUCUGCUGGGUCCAACCUGAAGCCACCAUUUAAUCAUCCCGAAGCAUGAAAGUAGAUGUCUAUUGAUGAAAGAGUUAGAGUUUAGGUGAUUUGCUAGACAGCAAAUCUAACUGUGAAAAUGCCAUUGAGAAAGGAAGGCCCCAGGACUGGGCUGGAUAAAUGAUAGCUCAUGUGGAAAUUCCACUGCAAUUUAAACACAUUGCUAAGCUUGCAUUACUCCUGAAUCUUCAUGAUUAGCAUAUGGCCCUAAAUGGGGGGUUCACAGCAACCACGGAGGAUGCUAAAGCUACUCAUGAGACUGCACUGUUCUUUCUUUGGAUCAGGGUUCCAGCUUCAGCACUGUAGGCACCGGGAGCCACAUCCUUUCUGUGGAAGCUGUCUGGUGUAUCAUAAGACAUUUAGCAGAACCUACCCACUCUAUCUCCUCGGUGACAGAAGAGCCCGCCCCCACAGCAGUUGUCAUAAUUGAAAAAUGCUUGCAGGCAUUUCUAACUAUUCCUGCAGGGAACUGUAGUCCUCAGCUCAUGCUUUUGUUGUCCUUCUGAUCUUGGAAGCUAAGCAGGGCCAGGCCUGGUUAAUACUUGGAUGGGAGAAUUGUGUUCUUAUGGGAAACUGGAAUUUAGUUUGGUUAAGUCAAAUAUACAAUAGUAGACAUCAUCUGGCUGUAUUUUAAAAUCUAGUCAUAUAAUAAUUUAACUUCUACUAAAAAUAAAAAGAUCUGGAAUACAAUCCUAACUGCCCGAAUAGUGGUGCCUAUAGUUAAAAAAAUAAAAGUAAAUAUAUCCUUAUUGAUGGCUGUGGGAAAACCCAAAGGUUAUUAUUAUUUUGGCAGACAGACAUCCUCAGUUGAUCUGCACCUACUCCGAUGUUGGGCAAUGCCUUCCUUGUUACACACGUCAACAGACAGCUUAGUGGGAUAGGUGAUACCAUGGACAUUGUUUCUAAGACACAGCCUCAUAGCCAGCUUAACACUCAAUAAAAAUGAGCAGGGACUAGCCAAUUCUUAAGCAUAAAGUGAGGAACUUCAAAUACCACCUUUCUCCAGGAUUCCAUUUCUAUCAAAGGAUGAAGCAAAGCUUUCAUUUCCUGGAAGUUUAUGUGCUUCGGUAGGAAUGCGAGCAAAUGCCAGUUCAGUGUAAAACCUGACUAUGGGACAUGUGUUUAAAAUAAAUGUCAGAAACAUCUUGUAUUCGUGAUUGUAACCUCCUCAGCCUAUCAGAUACAUCUGAACUACCUUAACCCCAAAAAUUUCUGUUAUUAAAUUUUCAAAUCCA
RNAcentral lists this long non-coding RNA (2089 nucleotides) under Mus musculus (house mouse). RNAcentral describes it as "predicted gene 15958 (Gm15958)". Lineage: Eukaryota; Metazoa; Chordata; Mammalia; Rodentia; Muridae. The record is from RNAcentral.